This 486-nucleotide ribosomal RNA is filed under the name uncultured bacterium. RNAcentral's name for it is "bacterial SSU rRNA". It matches the Rfam family "Bacterial small subunit ribosomal RNA", at positions 28 to 526 of the family's 1533-position model. The record is from RNAcentral.
GAUGAACGCUGGCGGCGUGCUUAACACAUGCAAGUCGAACGGUGAAGCAGAGCUUGCUCUGUGGAUCAGUGGCGAACGGGUGAGUAACACGUGAGCAACCUGCCCCGGACUCUGGGAUAAGCGCUGGAAACGGCGUCUAAUACCGGAUACGAGAUUCCACCGCAUGGUGAGUUUCUGGAAAGAUUUUUUGGUCUGGGAUGGGCUCACGGCCUAUCAGCUUGUUGGUGAGGUAAUGGCUCACCAAGGCGUCGACGGGUAGCCGGCCUGAGAGGGUGACCGGCCACACUGGGACUGAGACACGGCCCAGACUCCUACGGGAGGCAGCAGUGGGGAAUAUUGCACAAUGGGCGGAAGCCUGAUGCAGCAACGCCGCGUGAGGGAUGACGGCCUUCGGGUUGUAAACCUCUUUUAGCAGGGAAGAAGCGAAAGUGACGGUACCUGCAGAAAAAGCGCCGGCUAACUACGUGCCAGCAGCCGCAGUAACAC